GGCUCCAUGGUGUAGUGGCCUGCAUGGCUGUUUGUCGAACAGCAAGCACGGGUUCGAUUCCCGUUGGAGCCGCCG
RNAcentral lists this transfer RNA (75 nucleotides) under uncultured Chloroflexota bacterium. RNAcentral describes it as "uncultured Chloroflexi bacterium tRNA-Asp-GTC". It matches the Rfam family "tRNA". From Rfam's summary of the family: Transfer RNA (tRNA) molecules are approximately 80 nucleotides in length. Their secondary structure includes four short double-helical elements and three loops (D, anti-codon, and T loops). Further hydrogen bonds mediate the characteristic L-shaped molecular structure. tRNAs have two regions of fundamental functional importance: the anti-codon, which is responsible for specific mRNA codon recognition, and the 3' end, to which the tRNAs corresponding amino acid is attached (by aminoacyl-tRNA synthetases). tRNAs cope with the degeneracy of the genetic code in two manners: having more than one tRNA (with a specific anti-codon) for a particular amino acid; and 'wobble' base-pairing, i.e. permitting non-standard base-pairing at the 3rd anti-codon position. Lineage: Bacteria; Bacillati; Chloroflexota. The record is from RNAcentral.